RNAcentral lists this transfer RNA (74 nucleotides) under Candidatus Magasanikbacteria bacterium RIFOXYD2_FULL_36_9. RNAcentral's name for it is "tRNA-Val". It matches the Rfam family "tRNA". From Rfam's summary of the family: Transfer RNA (tRNA) molecules are approximately 80 nucleotides in length. Their secondary structure includes four short double-helical elements and three loops (D, anti-codon, and T loops). The record is from RNAcentral. Lineage: Bacteria; Candidatus Magasanikiibacteriota.
GGAUGAUUAGCUCAGCUGGUUAGAGCGUUGCAUUCACAUUGCAAAGGUCACUAGUUCAAAUCUAGUAUCAUCCA